UACGAAGGGGGCUAGCGUUGCCCGGAUUUAUUGGGCGUAAAGGGCGCGCAGGCGGUACGGCACGUCCGUUGUGAAAUCGCUCGGCUCAACUGGGCGGGGUCAGCGGAUACGGCCGCACUUGAGCAAGCUAGGGGGCAAUGGAAUUCCCGGUGUAGUGGUGAAAUGCGUAGAUAUCGGGAGGAACACCAGUGGCGAAGGCGACUUCCUGGCCUGUUCUUGACGCUGAGGCGCGAAAGCUAGGGGAGCAAACGGG
Molecule: ribosomal RNA, 253 nt
Filed under: uncultured bacterium
Lineage: Bacteria
Description: partial 16S ribosomal RNA
Rfam family: Bacterial small subunit ribosomal RNA
Source: RNAcentral